This 505-nucleotide ribosomal RNA is filed under the name uncultured bacterium. RNAcentral's name for it is "partial 16S ribosomal RNA". It matches the Rfam family "Bacterial small subunit ribosomal RNA", at positions 28 to 507 of the family's 1533-position model. The record is from RNAcentral.
GACGAACGCUGGCGGCGUGCCUAAUACAUGCAAGUAGAACGCACAGUUUAUACCGUAGCUUGCUACACCAUAGACUGUGAGUUGCGAACGGGGUAGUUACGCGUCGGUAACCUUCCUGGUAGCGGGGGAUAACUAUGGGUAACGAUAGCUAAUACCGCAUAAUACUAAUUAUUGCAUGAUAAUUAAUUGAAAGGUGCAAUUGCACCGCUACCAGAUGGACCUGCGUUGGAUUAGUUAGUAGGUGAGGUAACGGCUCACCUAGGCGAGGAUACAGAGCCGACAUGCGAUGAUGAGCGGCCAGCCUGGGAGGGUGACAGGGCCCAUACUCCCUCAGGAGGGAGCCGUAGGGCAUCGGCGGCAAUGGGCGAAAGUUAUACCGAGCAACGCCGCGUGAGUGAAGAAGGUUGUCGGAUCGUAAAGGUCUGUUGUAGGGGUAGAACGGGUGUGAGAGUGGAAAGUUCACACUGUGACGGUAACUUACAAGAAAGGAACGGCUAACUACGUG